GGCGGCGUGCUUACACAUGCAAGUCGAACGAUGAAGCCCUUCGGGGUGGAUUAGUGGCGAACGGGUGAGUAACACGUGGGCAAUCUGCCCUGCACUCUGGGACAAGCCCUGGAAACGGGGUCUAAUACCGGAUGACACCCCCUCUCGCAUGGGAGGGGGUUGAAAGCUCCGGCGGUGCAGGAUGAGCCCGCGGCCUAUCAGCUUGUUGGUGAGGUAGAAGCUCACCAAGGCGACGACGGGUAGCCGGCCUGAGAGGGCGACCGGCCACACUGGGACUGAGACACGGCCCAGACUCCUACGGGAGGCAGCAGUGGGGAAUAUUGCACAAUGGGCGAAAGCCUGAUGCAGCGACGCCGCGUGAGGGAUGACGGCCUUCGGGUUGUAAACCUCUUUCAGCAGGGAAGAAGCGAAAGUGACGGUACCUGCAGAAGAAGCGCCGGCUAACUACGUGCCAGCAGCCGCGGUAAUACGUAGGGCGCAAGCGUUGUCCGGAAUUAUUGGGCGUAAAGAGCUCGUAGGCGGCUUGUCACGUCGGUUGUGAAAGCCCGGGGCUUAACCCCGGGUCUGCAGUCGAUACGGGCAGGCUAGAGUGUGGUAGGGGAGAUCGGAAUUCCUGGUGUAGCGGUGAAAUGCGCAGAUAUCAGGAGGAACACCGGUGGCGAAGGCGGAUCUCUGGGCCAUUACUGACGCUGAGGAGCGAAAGCGUGGGGAGCGAACAGGAUUAGAUACCCUGGUAGUCCACGCCGUAAACGGUGGGAACUAGGUGUUGGCGACAUUCCACGUCGUCGGU
RNAcentral lists this ribosomal RNA (790 nucleotides) under Streptomyces sp. I07A-01478. RNAcentral's name for it is "bacterial SSU rRNA". It matches the Rfam family "Bacterial small subunit ribosomal RNA", at positions 38 to 844 of the family's 1533-position model. The record is from RNAcentral. Lineage: Bacteria; Bacillati; Actinomycetota; Actinomycetes; Kitasatosporales; Streptomycetaceae.